AGAGUUUGAUUCCCUGCUCAGGACGAACGCUGGCGGCGUGCCUAAUACAUGCAAGUCGAGCGAAUCGAUGGGAGCUUGCUCCCUGAGAUUAGCGGCGGACGGGUGAGUAACACGUGGGCAACCUGCCUAUAAGACUGGGAUAACUUCGGGAAACCGGAGCUAAUACCGGAUACGUUCUUUUCUCGCAUGAGAGAAGAUGGAAAGACGGUUUACGCUGUCACUUAUAGAUGGGCCCGCGGCGCAUUAGCUAGUUGGUGAGGUAAUGGCUCACCAAGGCGACGAUGCGUAGCCGACCUGAGAGGGUGAUCGGCCACACUGGGACUGAGACACGGCCCAGACUCCUACGGGAGGCAGCAGUAGGGAAUCUUCCGCAAUGGACGAAAGUCUGACGGAGCAACGCCGCGUGAACGAAGAAGGCCUUCGGGUCGUAAAGUUCUGUUGUUAGGGAAGAACAAGUACCAGAGUAACUGCUGGUACCUUGACGGUACCUAACCA
RNAcentral lists this ribosomal RNA (495 nucleotides) under Peribacillus simplex. Its description in RNAcentral is "bacterial SSU rRNA". It matches the Rfam family "Bacterial small subunit ribosomal RNA", at positions 8 to 485 of the family's 1533-position model. The record is from RNAcentral. Lineage: Bacteria; Bacillati; Bacillota; Bacilli; Caryophanales; Bacillaceae.